Molecule: ribosomal RNA, 254 nt
Filed under: uncultured bacterium
Lineage: Bacteria
Description: partial 16S ribosomal RNA
Rfam family: Bacterial small subunit ribosomal RNA
Source: RNAcentral
GACGUAGGGUCCAAGCGUUAUCCGGAUUUACUGGGCGUAAAGAGCGCGUAGGCGGUCCGUUAAGUGAGAAGUGAAAUCUUCAGGGCUCAACCCGAAAAUGGCUUUUCAUACUGGCGGACCGGAGGGAUGCAGAGGUAUGUGGAAUUCCUGGUGUAGCGGUGAAAUGCGUUGAUAUCAGGAGGAACACCCAUGGCGAAGGCAGCAUACUGGGCAUCAUCUGACGCUGAGGCGUGAAAGCGUGGGUAGCAAACAGG